RNAcentral lists this small RNA (783 nucleotides) under Pongo abelii (Sumatran orangutan). Its description in RNAcentral is "retained intron". The record is from RNAcentral. Lineage: Eukaryota; Metazoa; Chordata; Mammalia; Primates; Hominidae.
CCACUCCCAGGGCAUCAUCUACCGGGACCUCAAGCCCGAGAACAUCAUGCUCAGCAGCCAGGGCCACAUCAAACUGACCGACUUUGGACUCUGCAAGGAGUCGAUACAUGAGGGCGCCGUCACCCACACCUUCUGCGGCACCAUUGAGUACAUGGCCCCUGAGAUUCUGGUGCGCAGUGGCCACAACCGGGCUGUGGACUGGUGGAGCCUGGGGGCCCUGAUGUACGACAUGCUCACUGGAUCGGCAAGUCCAGCCCCCGGGAGGAGGAGGAGCAGGGGCAGAGGUGGGAGUAGCCCCCCUCCUGGGGCAAGGGCAGGGCCUGAUGGGAGGCCCACAAGGCUCCUCUCACCUUCCUCCUCCUCCAGCCUCCCUUCACUGCAGAGAACCGGAAGAAAACCAUGGAUAAGAUCCUAAAGGGCAAGCUGGCGCUGCCCGCCUACCUCACCCCAGAUGCCCGGGACCUUGUCAAAAAGUUUCUGAAACGUAAUCCCAGCCAGCGGAUUGGGGGUGGCCCAGGGGAUGCUGCUGAUGUGCAGAGACAUCCCUUUUUCCGGCACAUGAAUUGGGACGACCUUCUGGCCUGGCGUGUGGACCCCCCUUUCAGGCCCUGUCUGCAGUCAGAGGAGGACGUGAGCCAGUUUGAUACCCGCUUCACACGGCAGACGCCAGUGGACAGUCCCGAUGACACGGCCCUCAGCGAGAGUGCCAACCAGGCCUUCCUGGGCUUCACAUACGUGGCGCCAUCUGUCCUGGACAGCAAGGAAGGCUUCUCCUUCCAGCCC